UGCAAGUCGAACGGAAGUCGUUAUAAAAAGGAUUGAAGAUUUAUCUGAUUGAGAUUUUAUAACAAUGGCUUUAGUGGCGGACUGGUGAGUAACGCGUGAGCAACCUGCCUACUAGAGGGGAAUAACAGUGAGAAAUCAUUGCUAAUACCGCAUAUGCCAUGAACAUCACAUGAUGAAAAUGGGAAAAGAGUAAUCUGCUAGUAGAUGGGCUCGCGUCUGAUUAGAUAGUUGGUGGGGUAACGGCCUACCAAGUCGACGAUCAGUAGCCGGACUGAGAGGUUGAACGGCCACAUUGGGACUGAGAUACGGCCCAGACUCCUACGGGAGGCAGCAGUCGGGAAUAUUGCGCAAUGGAGGAAACUCUGACACAGUGACGCCGCGUAUAGGAAGAAGGUUUUCGGAUUGUAAACUAUUGUCGUUAGGGAAGAUACAAGACAGUACCUAAGGAGGAAGCUCCGGCUAACUACGUGCCAGCAGCCGCGGUAAUACGUAGGUGGCAAGCGUUGUCCGGAAUUACUGGGUGUAAAGGG
RNAcentral lists this ribosomal RNA (530 nucleotides) under uncultured bacterium. Its description in RNAcentral is "bacterial SSU rRNA". It matches the Rfam family "Bacterial small subunit ribosomal RNA", at positions 56 to 567 of the family's 1533-position model. The record is from RNAcentral.